GAUGAACGCUAGCUACAGGCUUAACACAUGCAAGUCGAGGGGCAGCGGGGGGCGCGCUUGCGCGUCCCGCCGGCGACCGGCGCACGGGUGAGUAACACGUAUGCAACCUGCCCCCGCCAGGGGUACAACCCUCCGAAAGGGGGGCUGAUACCGCGUACAUCCCCCGGGGGCAUCCCCGGGGGAGGAAAGCCCUACGGGGCGGGCGGGGAUGGGCAUGCGGCGCAGUAGGAAGACGGCGGUGUGACGGACCACCGUUCCGACGAUGCGUAGGGGUUCUGAGAGGAAGGCCCCCCACACUGGUACUGAGACACGGACCAG
Molecule: ribosomal RNA, 318 nt
Filed under: uncultured bacterium
Lineage: Bacteria
Description: partial 16S ribosomal RNA
Rfam family: Bacterial small subunit ribosomal RNA
Source: RNAcentral